Molecule: ribosomal RNA, 254 nt
Filed under: uncultured bacterium
Lineage: Bacteria
Description: partial 16S ribosomal RNA
Rfam family: Bacterial small subunit ribosomal RNA
Source: RNAcentral
UACGGGGGGAGCAAGCGUUGUUCGGAUUUACUGGGCGUAAAGGGCGCGUAGGCGGCCACCUCAAGUCGACUGUGAAAUCUCUGGGCUUAACCCAGAACGGUCAGCCGAUACUGCGGGGCUAGAGUGCAGAAGGGGCAACUGGAAUUCUCGGUGUAGCGGUGAAAUGCGUAGAUAUCGGGAGGAACACCAGUGGCGAAGGCGGCUUCCUGGCCUGUUCUUGACGCUGAGGCGCGAAAGCUAGGGGAGCAAACGGG